UUCAAUUUGUUGAUUAUAACUUUCAAUUUGUUUUAAACAGUCACAAUCCCAAACAACAAACCCAGAAAAUGCUACAACCAGCUCCGCCUAUUCUCACCGUCGUGUGCAUCACUCAUCGCCGUGACGCCGAGUAAAUCAACCGGAGAUCUUCUUCUUCUUCUUCUUUCUGUGUUAUUCAACGCUUUCAUCCAGUUAGUUUUAAUUUCAAAAAUUCUCUAAAAAUAUUCAAAAUGUAAAACUUAAAUCGUGUUUUACAAGAAAAUUUGUUGUUUACUAGUUCAAUCUCGCAUCUCAAAACUUGUAUAGCGUAAUCAUACUUGUUAAUUUAACUGAAAUCAUCAUUAUGAAUAAUAGAUUUCAGAUUUCGUUUAUGUUUUAUGAUUGACUGACUGAUUUAGGUAUAUAGCUCUCUGUGCAAGCUAGGGUUUCAGUUCGGUGCAUACACUAUGACUGGAAUUAGGUUUCUGAUCACUCGUCGGAUGUAUAAUACUUGUUCAAAAUCGAACAACCGUGUUUAUCAAGUUAAGGACACUGUAAGACCAUCUGUGAGUAGCAUAGGAGUCAUAGGACUUGACUAUAUAGCCAACAAAAGUACUAGAAGUAACAAUGUGGACAUAGUUUCACCUACACUAUCGAACCUUCGCCUUUGAACUACUUCUCCUUUUCUAGGAACGACGUAUUUGUUGAUUCAUCGGUUAUAUUCAUCAUCUGCCGGUAAUCGUCGAGAGGAUAUGGCGGUUUCGGGAUCGAGUGGACCGGAAGGUGUUAAUUCUAGUGGAUCCAAACUCAUCACCUCCUUCAGAUCUAAGCGAAUCGUGUAGGGUUUGGAGGCUAAUCUCUUUUUGUUCAGAAAAUUAGGGCUUGAAGAGCAUCAGACAAUGCCUUCGAUGCUUUCGCUCGAAUUUAUUAUUAUUCCUCCUUUGGCUACCUCUUCUUAUUCCGGUCGUUCGUAUUCUCAUCGUCUUAAACGUCGUCGUGGUGGUAAUCUUAUUAGUUAACAAUUGCUUUGUUUUUGUGUUUUUUGUUGUCAAAUUAGUAUCUAUUUCUGCAUCUGUCGACUUUUUUCUUCAUCAUCGUCAUCGGUUUACUGUUUUUGAGGCGGUCAAUUAGUUGUAUCUGUUGAAUUAGACAUCAAUCAAGAGAUACGAGAUUGUUUGGAUUGGUUUCAGUUUCUGCGUGGUUGAAAUUUGGUCAACCCUAGAUCUGAUCUUGCUAAAAAAGUACUUUUUUUUUAUUUGAUAUGAAUAUAGUUUUGUUUUUGUAUAUUGAUUAGGGGGAUCUUGUUGAUGUUGCCUUACUUGAUAGAUAUAUGCAUAUAUUGGAUGCUGCUUGGAGAAGGAUGUAUUUUGGUUUUGAUUAUGAGUAUAUGUUUGUUAAACAAACCUUAUUGUCGAUUUUUUUGUUGUGUUUGUAUUAGAUGCUUUGAUGUGGAUAAUGUUAUUUUGUUUUGCAUUUAAGGAUUGUAACUUGUAAGUAAACAUUUGCGCAUCGAAUGGGGGAAAGUGGCAUAACUCAGCUCUUUACUGAUACAUGUAUAAAUACAAAUGUAGCCUGUUGGCUAUGUAUUAGAUUCUUUGAUGUGCAUCAUGUUAUUUUGUUUGAAUUUAAGGUAUAUAAGCAAACAUCUGUGGCAUAACUCACUUAUUUACUGAGCUGUAAUACGAUGAUACAUAAUUACAUAUAUAAAUUCACGUAUAUUCUGUUGGCUUUGUAUUAGAUGCUUCUAUCAUAAUGUCGUUUUGUUUCUCAUUUAAGGAUUAUAAGCCAAUCUCUGUGUAUCAGAGGGGAAAGUGGCAUAACUCAGCUCUUUAUCGAGCUGUUAUACAGCGAUACAUAUAUAAAUGCAAAUAUAGUCUAUUGGUAUGUAUUAGUUGAUAGCUUACUUGGGUUCAAUAGUAAUCGAAAAGGUAAUGGGGGGUACACAUGAAGCGAUGGUUUCAUCGUGACUACCUGACACCAUAACUAUUGCAUUUUUAGCCUUCUUUUAAUUAGCUUCUGUAGUCCCAGUCCCGUCUCUAUUUUUCGCAAGGCUUCUUUUGUUUUCUAUUAUUGUUUAGUAUAAGUGUUUCAAGUUCUCUUCUGUUGGCUUCUAUUCCAAUCUUCUGCUUAUUGUGAGCAGUAAAACAUCUCCCUCUUUCUAUCUUGCCCAACAAUUAUUUUUUUCACUUCCUUUUAUGAAUUUCUGUUUUCACCCGUUCUUUUUCUAUAUUACUUCCACUUUCCAUGCCCAGCAAUUUAAUUUUAAAAUCCUCAUUUACUUGCAUUGUAAUUUAGUCUCCUAAUGUUCACCACAGUAACACACUAUAAUUUUCACUUUCUCUCAUAUGUUGAAUGAUACAGUUGGAACAUUAGCAAGAGGUAGAUACGACAACAACGACAUUGCCAUUGCUGUAAUUAUGGGUACCGGUACAAAUGCAGCUUGUUGAACAAGCCCAGGGUAUACCAAAAUGGCACGACCCGCCCCCUAAAUCAGGAGAGAUGGUUAUAAACAUGGAGUGGGGUAACUUCAGCUCGUCACAUCUUCCGUUGACGGAGUAUGAUACUGCAUUGGAUAUAGAAAGCUUAAACCCAGGUCAACAGGUGAUUGUUUCUGCAUAUGCUUUUCCUGAUACACCAUAUAUGUUGUUAUUAACUCAUAAUAUUGACAGAUGUAUAAAAAAAACGAUUUCGGGGAUGUACCUGGGAGAAAUUCUUUGUAGAGAUGUUUUAUAUUUUUUGUUUAGGUGUAAAGAUGGAAGCCAUAACGAUAACGAUAUGAUGCGUAGAGAGCAUGCGUGUUCAUGAAACAUUCCACACAUAUUCGCUUUUGUUUAGCGUGCAUUGUUACUUGGUGUCUUGUUUGAGCCGACUAUCUGUGUUUUUUAUGUUUUAGUAAUCAACAAUUCACUUAAAGACUUCGCGCAAUCUAAGUUAUUGAAAUUGUAUCCAACCUUUCUUUUUUAUUUUAGGCA
Molecule: long non-coding RNA, 2951 nt
Organism: Helianthus annuus (common sunflower)
Lineage: Eukaryota; Viridiplantae; Streptophyta; Magnoliopsida; Asterales; Asteraceae
Exons: 2
Source: RefSeq, a predicted model, not a curated record